Molecule: unclassified non-coding RNA, 398 nt
Filed under: Hevea brasiliensis (rubber tree)
Lineage: Eukaryota; Viridiplantae; Streptophyta; Magnoliopsida; Malpighiales; Euphorbiaceae
Source: RNAcentral
GUUGUUAGGAAUUUGGUUCUUGACAUUUUAUAAUUUUGGGCUGAAAAUACAAGCAUGCUAAUUCUUUGCUCACUCUUUACUUCAUUUGGUGAAUAUUUGGAUCUCAAUCUGAAGAAAACAAACUGGAAGGAGUGGGAUUUCAUUUUGAUCUACUUAAAUUGGGAAAAAGAUACAAGCCUAUUUGGUUUAGUUGUUGCUGUUGCCGCUACUAUUAAUGGGAUCUCAUUUGAACUUCAAGAACUUUGGUAAUGCCCCAGCCGGGGAGGGCAGCGGUGCAAAGCCACCAGGGAGUUCCCUUUUAGUCCGCCAGCCUUCAGUAUACUCAUNNNUGAGUUCCAGAACACAUGGGGUGGAGGACUUGGGAAGGAUUUUGGAUCAAUGAACAUGGAGGAGCUAUU